GAUGAACGCUGGCGGCGUGCCUAAUACAUGCGAGUCGAGCGAACAGACGAGGAGCUUGCUCCUCUGACGUUAGCGGCGGACGGGUGAGUAACACGUGGAUAACCUACCUAUAAGACUGGGAUAACUUCGGGAAACCGGAGCUAAUACCGGAUAAUAUAUUGAACCGCAUGGUUCAAUAGUGAAAGACGGUUUUGCUGUCACUUAUAGAUGGAUCCGCGCCGCAUUAGCUAGUUGGUAAGGUAACGGCUUACCAAGGCAACGAUGCGUAGCCGACCUGAGAGGGUGAUCGGCCACACUGGAACUGAGACACGGUCCAGACUCCUACGGGAGGCAGCAGUAGGGAAUCUGCCGCAAUGGGCGAAAGCUUGACGGAGCAACGCCGCGUGAGUGAUGAAGGUCUUCGGAUCGUAAAACUCUGUUAUUAGGGAAGAACAAAUGUGUAAGUAGCUAUGCACGUCUUGACGGUACCUAAUCAGAAAGCCACGGCUAACUACG
Molecule: ribosomal RNA, 495 nt
Filed under: uncultured bacterium
Lineage: Bacteria
Description: partial 16S ribosomal RNA
Rfam family: Bacterial small subunit ribosomal RNA
Source: RNAcentral